UGGGGAAUUUUGGACAAUGGGGGAAACCCUGAUCCAGCCAUCCCGCGUGUGCGAUGAAGGCCUUCGGGUUGUAAAGCACUUUUGGCAGGAAAGAAACGUCAUGGGUUAAUACCCCGUGAAACUGACGUUACCUGCAGAAUAAGCACCGGCUAACUACGUGCCAGCAGCCGCGGUAAUACGUAGGGUGCAAGCGUUAAUCGGAAUUACUGGGCGUAAAGCGUGCGCAGGCGGUUCGGAAAGAAAGAUGUGAAAUCGCAGAGCUCAACUUUGGAACUUCAUUUUUAACUACCGGGCUAGAGUGUGUCAGAGCGAGGUGGAAUUCCACGUGUAGCAGUGAAAGGCGUAGAUAUGCGGAGGAACACCGAUGGCGAAGGCAGAAUCCUGGGAUAACACUGACGCUCAUGCACGAAGGCGUGGGGAGCAAACAGG
RNAcentral lists this ribosomal RNA (429 nucleotides) under Acidobacteriota bacterium. Its description in RNAcentral is "Acidobacteria bacterium partial 16S ribosomal RNA". It matches the Rfam family "Bacterial small subunit ribosomal RNA", at positions 355 to 776 of the family's 1533-position model. Lineage: Bacteria; Pseudomonadati; Acidobacteriota. The record is from RNAcentral.